AUGACAUUACUGGGAUGGUUCUAUACUAGUUCUAAUACUAGUUACCUAAUAACAUUACUGGGAUGGUUCUAUACUAGUUACCUAAUGACAUUUCUGGGAUGGACUAGUUACCUAAUGACAUUACUGGGAUGGUUCUAUACUAGUUACCUAAUAACAUUACUGGGAUGGAGUAGUAACCUAAUGACAUUACUGGGAUGGUUCUAUACUAGUUACCUAAUGACAUUACUGGGAUGGUUCUAUAUUAGUUACCUAAUGACAUUACUGGGAGGGUUCUAUACUAGUUACCUAAUAACAUUACUGGGAUGGUUCUAUACUAGUUCUAAUACUAGUUACCUAAUAACAUUACUGGGAUGGUUCUAUACUAGUUCUAAUACUAGUUACCUAAUAACAUUACUGGGAUGGUUCUAUACUAGUUCUAAUACUAGUUACCUAAUGACAUUACUGGGAUGGUUCUAUACUAGUUACCUAAUGACAUUACUGGGAUGGUUCUAUACUAGUUACCUAAUGACAUUACUGGGAUGGUUCUAUACUAGUUCUAAUACUAGUUACCUAAUGACAUUACUGGGAUGGUUCUAUACUAGUUACCUAAUGACAUUACUUGGAUGGUUCUAUACUAGUUACCUAAUAACAUUACUGGGAUGGUUCUAUACUAGUUCUAAUACUAGUUACCUAAUAACAUUACUGGGAUGGUUCUAUACUAGUUCUAAUACUAGUUACCUAAUAACAUUACUGGGAUGGUUCUAUACUAGUUCUAAUACUAGUUACCUAAUGACAUUACUGGGAUGGUUCUAUACUAGUUACCUAAUGACAUUACUGGGAUGGUUCUAUACUAGUUCUAAUACUAGUUACCUAAUGACAUUACUGGGAUGGUUCUAUACUAGUUACCUAAUGACAUUACUGGGAUGGUUCUAUACUAGUUACCUAAUGACAUUACUGGGAUGGUUCAAUACUAGUUACCUAAUGACAUUACUGGGAUGGUUCUAUACUAGUUACCUAAUAACAUUACUGGGAUGGUUCUAUACUAGUUACCUAAUGACAUUACUGGGAUGGUUCAAUACUAGUUACCUAAUGACAUUACUGGGAUGGACUAGUUACCUAAUGACAUUACUGGGAUGGACUAGUUACCUAAUGACAUUACUGGGAUGGCCCCUUGGUUCUAUAUUAGUUACCUAA
RNAcentral lists this long non-coding RNA (1173 nucleotides) under Oncorhynchus mykiss (rainbow trout). RNAcentral's name for it is "lncRNA (ENSOMYG00000053417.1)". The record is from RNAcentral. Lineage: Eukaryota; Metazoa; Chordata; Actinopteri; Salmoniformes; Salmonidae.